CUGUAGCUCAGUUGGAUAGAGUGCUUGACUACGAAUCAAGAGGUCGGGGGUUCGAGCCCCUUCAG
RNAcentral lists this transfer RNA (65 nucleotides) under mouse gut metagenome. It matches the Rfam family "tRNA", at positions 5 to 66 of the family's 71-position model. From Rfam's summary of the family: Transfer RNA (tRNA) molecules are approximately 80 nucleotides in length. Their secondary structure includes four short double-helical elements and three loops (D, anti-codon, and T loops). RNAcentral also lists the same sequence under 1 other name. The record is from RNAcentral.